AUAUUUAAAUUGAUGAAAAAAUUCAUACCCAAAACUGAAUUAAAGUUGAGGAAUUAUUGUAACAUGCAUCACCAACUGAAUUUUUA
Small nucleolar RNA from Lucilia cuprina (Australian sheep blowfly), 86 nucleotides. The record is from Rfam. Lineage: Eukaryota; Metazoa; Arthropoda; Insecta; Diptera; Calliphoridae.